This 738-nucleotide long non-coding RNA is filed under the name Elaeis guineensis (African oil palm). RNAcentral describes it as "long non-coding RNA (EGUI_LNC064881)". Lineage: Eukaryota; Viridiplantae; Streptophyta; Magnoliopsida; Arecales; Arecaceae. The record is from RNAcentral.
ACGGUGUGGCCCAUCCUUGGUCGGGCCGUUCAAGCCACGGCCGCCGCGGCGGAGGCCGGCGGCCGACGGGGGCCACUCCCCUGAUCAAGGAGAAGCGUGGCCGGCGAUCGAUUUCGAUCGCCGGUGCCGGAAAAAUCCACGGGAAAGAGACCGAAACAGAGGUCUCUUUCCCCGACCGGAAAUCGGCGACUCUCGUCGCCGGCAGCGCGCACAAUGCACGGGGAGGAAGGAGAAGAAAGAGGGGAGGAAGAGGGAAACUUACCUCAGCCUCCGGAGACCUCGCCGGCGAGCAAUUACGGCGAGAAAUCGGACGGUGUCCGUGGCUCUAAUUCGAGGAAAUCGGAGAGAAGGAGAGAGGGAGGAGACCUAUGGAUCGAUUCUAAAGAGAGGGAAGACCUUCUUAUAGAGGGUCCUAAGAUUCCGAGAGAUCCUAGGACUCCUAAUGCGCAUGGGUCUCGCCGGAGAAGAAGACUCCUACCGGGAGUCUUCUUCCCGUUUUUACCCUGUUUUUUUUUUUUUUUGGGUCUUUGAUCUGCUGGGCUGGGCUUUGGGCUUGGUUUGGGCUAUAACAGUUAUAAAAGGAUAAAUAUGCAUGUUAUCACAGCAGGCCCCCUAGACACAGCAUUGCAAAAACAUGGCAAGUUCAGAGUCAGGCCAACAUCUUCUGGUUUCAUAUCAUCUGCAGGAGAAAAAAAUGAGCACAAUUAUCAGACUAAGUCACACAUGUGACUAACAUGG